UACACUCCUACGGGAGGCAGCAGUGGGGAAUUUUGGACAAUGGGCGAAAGCCUGAUCCAGCAAUGCCGCGUGCAGGAUGAAGGCCUUCGGGUUGUCAACUGCUUUUGUACGGAACGAAAAAGCUCCUUCUAAUACAGGGGGCCCAUGACGGUACCGUAAGAAUAAGCACCGGCUAACUACGUGCCAGCAGCCGCGGUAAUACGUAGGGUGCGAGCGUUAAUCGGAAUUACUGGGCGUAAAGCGUGCGCAGGCGGUUAUGUAAGACAGAUGUGAAAUCCCCGGGCUCAACCUGGGAACUGCAUUUGUGACUGCAUGGCUAGAGUACGGUAGAGGGGGAUGGAAUUCCGCGUGUAGCAGUGAAAUGCGUAGAUAUGCGGAGGAACACCGAUGGCGAAGGCAAUCCCCUGGACCUGUACUGACGCUCAUGCACGAAAGCGUGGGGAGCAAACAGGAUUAGAAACCCCGGUAGUCCC
This 473-nucleotide ribosomal RNA is filed under the name uncultured organism. RNAcentral's name for it is "partial 16S ribosomal RNA". It matches the Rfam family "Bacterial small subunit ribosomal RNA", at positions 332 to 797 of the family's 1533-position model. The record is from RNAcentral.